Euleptes europaea (tarantolino) is the source of this 103-nucleotide small nucleolar RNA. RefSeq annotates it as small nucleolar RNA SNORD46. The transcript has a single exon. NCBI's taxonomy places the organism in Eukaryota, Metazoa, Chordata, Lepidosauria, Squamata, Sphaerodactylidae. The record is from RefSeq and is a predicted model, not a curated record.
AACUGGAGUGAUGAGAACUACACCUUAGGUGGGUGCUGGGGACUGUUUUGGUCUUCUUUGCACUUGCCAAUGCUAGGAGUUGUCAUAGUUACACUGACCAUGU